UGGGGAAUUUUCCGCAAUGGGCGAAAGCCUGACGGAGCAAUGCCGCGUGGAGGUGGAAGGCCUACGGGCGUCAACUUCUUUUCUCGGAGAGAAACAAUGACGGUAUCUGAGGAAUAAGCAUCGGCUAGCUCUGUGCCAG
Molecule: ribosomal RNA, 139 nt
Filed under: uncultured bacterium
Lineage: Bacteria
Description: partial 16S rRNA
Rfam family: Bacterial small subunit ribosomal RNA
Source: RNAcentral